This 255-nucleotide ribosomal RNA is filed under the name uncultured bacterium. RNAcentral describes it as "partial 16S ribosomal RNA". It matches the Rfam family "Bacterial small subunit ribosomal RNA", at positions 524 to 776 of the family's 1533-position model. The record is from RNAcentral.
UACGUAGGGUGCGAGCGUUGUCCGGAAUUAUUGGGCGUAAAGAGCUCGUAGGCGGUCUGUCGCGUCUGCUGUGAAAACCCGAGGCUCAACCUCGGGCCUGCAGUGGGUACGGGCAGACUAGAGUGCGGUAGGGGGAGAUUGGAAUUCCUGGUGUAGCGGUGGAAUGCGCAGAUAUCAGGAGGAACACCGAUGGCGAAGGCAGAUCUCUGGGCCGUAACUGACGCUGAGGAGCGAAAGCGUGGGGGAGCGAACAGG